AUCGCUUCUUGGCCUUUUGGCUAAGAUCAAGUGUAGUAUCUGUUCUUAUCAGUUUAAAUCUCAAUUCUGGUAAGAGUUUAGGAAAGGCAUGGUGCAAAGUGAGUAUGUUAUAGUUUGAUAUGUCCCUCAAAAGUUCAUAUAUGGGAAAUUUAGUCCCCAAAUUCAUUUGUUACUGGUAUUUGAGAAUGGGACCUUAA
Heterocephalus glaber (naked mole-rat) is the source of this 197-nucleotide small nuclear RNA. Its record names the gene U2. It matches the Rfam family "U2 spliceosomal RNA". Rfam says of the family: U2 is a small nuclear RNA (snRNA) component of the spliceosome (involved in pre-mRNA splicing). Lineage: Eukaryota; Metazoa; Chordata; Mammalia; Rodentia; Bathyergidae. The record is from Ensembl.